AUCGAAACCUUUUUUCUUUGGUCCUAAAUUUGCCUAAUGUUAUUUGAAUCUGAGCAAUACAUAAAGCUUGUCUAUGUUGGCUUCUUAUCUAAUAAAAAUGGCAUCUUUCAUUUCUUUAGUAGAUUUUUAAUAUGCCCUCCAUAAGACCAUUGCUAAUGUCUAUGUUUCACCUCUUGGUGCAUGCUCAGUUAAGAGGUGCAUAUUCAAG
RNAcentral lists this unclassified non-coding RNA (208 nucleotides) under Hevea brasiliensis (rubber tree). Lineage: Eukaryota; Viridiplantae; Streptophyta; Magnoliopsida; Malpighiales; Euphorbiaceae. The record is from RNAcentral.